CGCAUAUACUGGAUAGAAGAAGAUCAUGUCAAGAGAUGUAAGUUCUUUAUAUCACUGAAAGCAUGUAGGGCUACAGGGGUAACAAGUAUAAGAAAAUAGAAACCGUCCGGGUAACAAGGAAAUGUCAAUGUCUUUACUCCAAGUACAGUUACUAGGAUAUGAUUUCUUCUAACAGGAAUAUGCUCGAUAACAAGGGAUGUAAGUAGACAGUAAGAUAUUAGACAGAAAUGUUCUUACUUGAAGUAAGGAUAUUAUAUUUGUACAAGGAACACAUACUCGAGUCUUCUCGGUAAGGUCAAGAGAACCAUGUUUAAAAAGUUAAUGAAAAAGAUGUCUUUACAACAAAUUGAGAAGCCAUUGCAACUUUAAGCCAUAUCAUUGUGAUCAAGAACGAGUUAUCAAAAAUCCUACGUUAUUUGCAGCUGAAUAAAUAUUGGAAAUGGUUGUCAGACGGAUAAUAAUCUUCAUAAGGGUCUCACUGAAAAACCAGAAACGGAGAAAUGACAUCCAAGAGGGAAUCUACAGUUGAUAAUGAUCCUAUUUUGAGGACUUUCACUGUGGAGGAAAUUAAGUUCAGCCGACGAGUAAUUGAACCCAUUCUCAGUGGCAGGUCCCGAUGGAAUUACAGUUCGAGAAAUCAAGUCCAUGGACCCUAUUAUCCUCACUAACCUGUGCAACUGUUUGUUGCUGGCCGGCAAAGUUCAGGUUCUCGGCCGGAGGAACCGACCCGUUGCUAGAGAUUCUGCUCAGGGACUGCGGUUUGACGGAGUUGAUUUGGUGGGCCUUGCGUAUGGUGCUAGUCUCUGGCUCGCGGGGGGGGAGGGGUUGCAGGGAGUUUAUAGGUGCUUAGAGUUCUACCGCAGGGUGGGACUGGCUAUCAAUAUUUCUAAAUGAUCCUGGUUCUCCAUAAGAGGCUGUGGUAUAUCUUUCUUGGUCAACACAGACGUACUACGGAUGAUUGACGGGGCUCCAGUCAAGAGUGUCGAACAGGAUGAGAAAAAUGUUCUACUCAGGGAUCCAAAUCAACCCAUGGAGUUCGGUUUCGACUUGGGACGAGGAAACUUCACUGGAAUGUGUCACGGUCUAUUAAAGAUAUGCCGUGCUCCUUUGAAACCCAGACAAAAAUUCCUCCUCCUCCAGCACUAUUACUUGCCUUGACUGUUUUAACUGAGUGGAACUUGGGGCUACUUAAGAUGCGCUCCAAUACGUUUCCCAGUAGGAGUGUCUUACGCGUGAGGGCAGAGGCUCCAUGGCCUGUAGGAACGGGGCCGGACUCUCAUAUCAGUGGCCUGCGCCCGGGUUUAAAAAGCUCGAGAACUGUGCCAGCUGGUAGCGAAGGAAGUGGAGAAGUAUGACAGGGAGAUCGGCUGGGAACCGGCCUACUGAACAUCUGAAACUAGGCUUAUUCCCGACCUGGCACUACGGAGUUCUGAUAAAACAGUUGUCGACGUAACUGUACGUUACGAGUAGGGGACGUCUCUGAAAGACGCAGCCAACGAAACGGUGCGUAAAUACCGACCGCUUAUCUCACUGAGAACGAGAGCUAUGUCGGCUUGUAGAAACAUACGGAUUCCCCGUGCGAGCUUGCGGUGCAUGGUGCCAACCCACAGAGAAGACACUACUGGCCGUUGGGAUCCGUGACAAAGCUUUUAGGUGGCUACUGAGCAGAACCGCUAUGAUCUAUGCAUACAAUGAGGGACUGAGCCAUCCGAGGGCCUGUCCAGAUCGUCACUGGCAGAUUCUUGUUUUGAGCUCUCGUCCCCUGCGCUCCCAUCGCAGGGUUGAGGCAGGGCGCAGAAUGGAUCUCUCCAGUAUGGAUCUAGUCACAUGGCACAGGCCACGGUAAAAACCGGUAACGGCUCCGCCACUCCAGUGUGUGAUUCAACCUCGGCUGGGACCGGCUGAAUAUACUCGAAAUGGAUAGUGUACUUUCGUGAAUGUCACUAUGACGAGUGCAUUGUGGGACUGUCCACGUUAAAAGCAGGGAAAGGUACAGUAAAUGCAUUGUGUAACAGCCAAAUGCUUCGUCAUUUAAUAAGUGACGCGCAUGGAACGGGCAUUAAUGGAGAAUCGCUACGAUUUUGUAAAGAAGUAGAGAGAGGGGGAAAAUGAAAAGGAUUUCGGCCCCGUAAGUUUGCUAAACGCAGAUUUCAAGAUUUGAGAAAACUUUCGGCAAGAAGUUGGUGUUUUGAUUGAUGAAGAGCAAACAUGCACUAUACCGAACAGACAGACUAAGUCUCCAGUUCGUAACGAAUCACCGAUAGAAUGAGCAGAUCGUUAAUCAGCUUUAAACAAUCAAAAGCUUUCGAUAAGCUUGAAAAAUAUUUGGUGCUGCUGUUGGUAUGGCAACCUUUUAAAGUUCUGUUUUUAGGGGCAAUUAAUGUGAUUGGCCACCUAUCAGAAGUAGGUUCUUCCAUUAUGUUACUGCCCACUAUCAGGGAUUUUGUUAAAAAUCUUUGUUUAUACUGUAGUUAGCAGUGACGGCAACAGAAAAAUUACGAAGCUGGGAGAAGUCACUAAAACCUGAGUCCAUAUCAAGCCAUUUUCGUAGAUCAAUGUGAUCUACAAAAAGAAAAAAGAAAAUAUUUAGAAAUUACCCAGAAAAGAACUUAUUUAUAGCUGAAAAGACUAUCGAAAGGAACCAUAAUUCACCAAAAUGGAUCGAUGGAGAAAAAAUCCCCGAGGCGGUAAAAUGACGAAUAAACAUCGAAGUGUUUACCUAAAUCUAUGCCGAUCACUGGUAAAAUAUUGGCCUACAUUUCAGGCAGACUUGUUUGGAAGGGAUCCGCUUACUGGAAGACAGUCGAAAGUGUUACUUCAUUCUAAGUUUCUUUCCCUCCGUUACUUAACCCGUCUAUAACGAUUUCACGUGGUUUGAAGGAAAGGUGAAGAGCGAACGAAGAGGAAAAGUGGGUAAGGCGAAGAGCGAAAGAGUGCUGUAUCUAUGAAACUGGAGCAUAAAUUAUAUAAAGCAUUAAGUAAUCAUCGUAUUUCAACUUCCUUCACUUUUCGAUGAGUAGCAGAUGAGCGACCAUCUUUUGAUACAGAUACAACAAAGCUACGCUUUCAGGUUUGGAUAAAGUUUUCUGAAAUAACCCAAUAAAUUUAGCAUUAAUCCUGUGAAAUAUUCACGGGUCCCAGUACUGAAUAUCCGAAGUCACCAUCAAGUUAAGUAACAAGGGCAACAAGGAUAAGAAAGCAAGAUCCAUCCUAAGAAAAUUGUAUAAAAAUGUCAACUUCAAGCAAGGAAGUUGGGAUAACACACACGACUCUUGGUAAUAAAGUGACAACGAUGAGGAAAGGAGAACUGUCUCCUUUAAAAAGGAAAGGAUGAAAUAAAAGUGUCUUUAUAUCAAGCUUGGAUAAGUCAAAGAAGAAAAAAAAACAAUGUAAUCUGCGAAAAGCAUUCAAGAAUGAUUUAACAAAAAACUACUUUAGAUGUAGCUGAACAACUAUUGGGAAGGGCGACCAGACGGACAAUUUACAUGACAGUCUCACAGUAAGAAAUAAAAAAAAAGUGAAUCGGAGAAAUGACCAAUAAAUACCCGAGAGGAAAGGUACUUGCCUGAAAUAUGGGUAGAUAUUUCAUCCGUGAUCGACAUAGAUUCAGAUAAAUUUCUUUGGUAGCGAUCAGGUUACCAGAUCCCUGCUCGGAUUCGACUGAUUUGCUUAAAGUGUCCAGGUGGAGAUCAUGCAGAAAAGACAAAUAGAGAGGCCAGUCUCACAGAGAUAGAUUGAGAGAAAUCCGUGCUUGACAGGUUGGUCAGAGGCGGUGAACGCCUACCAGGUCAUUGUCGUCCAAUACCGCCUGACCAGCUUUCCUUGCCGCAUUUCAUAUCUGAAAACUUAGCCGGUUUCGCCUUCAAUUUAAGCAAUCUCUUCUUUGUCGAUCUGUGUCUUCAGUUGAUUUCAUCCUUCGGAGGUUAUUUGUUAUACCGAUUUCAUAUUCGAGUUUUAAGCUUUGUUUACUCCUUUAGACACAAGAUUGAUAAAACUUAAAAUAAGGCAGUGUAUCACAAUUGUAGAACUGUCACCACCACUGCAACCGUGAUUAGCAGAGACAGCAAUAAGUGAAUUAGCAAAAUAAGCUACUACUAGUAAGGAUGCUUCAAUCAUCGAUGACACCGCCCAAAAGUGAAGUCAUUCCCAAAAUGAGUAACAAAUUGCUAUCUUUAUCAAAUCAUUCCAAUGUUUUACAUAUAACAAAACAUUCAAAAAGGUUUCAGAAACGACCCAUUUUCUCCUUUAUAUCACAGAAAACCAGUCAUUUAACAAAGCUAACGAUGAUGAUUAAAAGAGAAUCGUAUCGUUUAAAAGCUGUCCAACAAAUGAGCCUUUACACCAGUAUGAGAGAAGUCACUUAAAAACCAUACCAAUGUGAUCUGCGAAAGAAACAACAUUCAAUGAUUCAACUACCUUAUUUCACAAUGAAAUCUCUCACUGCCACUACAACUGUAUUUAGCAGUAACAGCCACAGGAAGACAAAAGCAUAAUCUACUACUGACACCACCUUGAUCGAUGCCACUGCCCAAAACACCAAACGUGAAAUCCUUCCCAAAAUGAAGCCAAAUUAACUGUUUCUAAACCUCAACCCCACCAAACACUUUCGACGAAGGAAUAUCUUUAAAAUAGUUGGCGGCCUUCUAGAGAGCGUUGAAUAAAAUUGAUGAAAAGGUUCGAUUAACUGCAUACUUCAUUAAAUGAAGAAUAUACGAAGCCAAAUUAACUGUUUCUAAACCUGAAUCCCACCAAACCCUUUCGACGAAGGAAUACUAUCAAAAUGGUUGGUGGCCUUCUAGAGCGUGGAAAAAUAAUAGAUGAAAAGGUUCAAUAAACUACAUCUUUCAUUAAAUGAAGAGUAUACGAAGCCAAAUUAACUGUUUCUAAACCUCAAACCUGCCAAACCCGUUCGACGAAGGAAUACCAUCAAAAUGGUUGGCGGCCUUCUAGAGAGCGUGGAAAAAAAUUGAUGAAAAGGUUCAAUACACUGCAUGCUUCAUUAAAUGAUAAAUAUAUGAAGCCAAAUUAACUGUUUCUAAACCUCAACCCCACCAAACACUUUCGACGAAGGAAUGACUUUAAAAUGGAUGGUGGCCUUCAAGAGUGUGUGGAAUAAAAUUCAUGAUAAGGUUCAAUAAACUGCAUCCUUCAUUAAAUGAUGAGUAUACCAAGACCGCUUAUCUAUUUCUGAAACCUCAAACCCACCAAACCCUUUCGACGAAGGAAUAUCUUUAAGAUGGUUGGCGGCAUUCUAGAGAGCGAGGAAAAAAAUUGAUGAAAAGUUUCAAUACACUGCAUCCUUCAUUAAAUGAUGAGUAUACGAAGACAAAUUAACUGCUUCUAAACCUCAAACCCACCAAACCCUUUCGACGACAGAAUACCUUUAAGAUGGUCGGUGGACUUCUCGAGAGCGAGGACAAAAACUGAUGAAAAGGUUCAAUAAACUGCAUCCUUCAUUAAAUGAAGAGUAUACGAAGCCAAAUUAACUGUUUCUAAACCUCAAACCUGCCAAACCCUUUCGACGAAGGAAUACCAUCAAAAUGGUUGGUGGCCUUCUAGAGAGCGCGGAAUAAAAUUGAUGAAAAGGUUCAAUAAACUGCAUCCUUUAAUAAAUUAAGAGUAUACGAAGCCAAAUUAACUCUUUCUAAACCUGAAUCCCACAAAAUCCUUUCGACGAAUGAAAAUUUUUCGAGGAAAUUGGUGCAACUUAUUAAAUCUGAAAAAGCAAAAACCGCUACAUAACAUUUCCGUAAUCAGUUACAAAUAGACAAAAAAACACCAUAAACAAAGCAAGAGUUAUACCACCAGAGAGGCACACACAAAACUCUCACUGCAAACUGUGCUGAUAAGUGCAACAGGAAACUAAUGCCCUUCAUUGCAGAGUAUCAGGGAUCCCCAAAUGUAUAAAUAAGCGAUUUUCUUUUAUAUUUCAUCUUUCCACCGACAUGGUGGCUCUGAACGACUCUGGUGUUUCUGAGUCUCCUUGACCCCGAGAGCUGGACAGGACAAAAGCCAGAGUAAUAUGGUUAAACACUUCCCAGAAGAAAAAAUAGGUUUUUAUGGGGGACAACACCCCUACUUCGAAAAAAGUGAUAGCAUCGAUGAUAGUUCGAAAAACGAUUAGACCUAGGCGAUGAAGGUCUUCCUGCGUGGAAUGUCCAAUGCGGGGUAGCAAAAUCAGAAUAAAAAUCUGCAAGAGAGACGAGGUAAAAAACAACUUCCAUACCUCGAUCAACGCAGUCUCCCGUCUUACAAUUGCACGCUUGACAAGAGGACUUCAGUGAGGAGAAUCGCACUCAGUAUAUAUGUGUUAACCAUUCCUUACUGUUGUGGUCUACUUCAGCUAAAGGCAUAAUUUGACUUGUAAGAAAUAAACCAAAUCUUCCUGAAAACAUUUUACUGUAUUGAAAAGUGAAGGUCACAUUGGGUAAUAGAUCUCGAUUAUCAUUGCAACAACAAGUUUAUAAAUGCCAUUUUUAGUGAAAUAGGUUGGUAAACUUUUAUUUUUCUGGUGGGGCAGAGGACAAAAUGCUUAGUUGCAUUUCAUCUGUCCUCAUGUUCUGAUAAUAGAGUAACAUAAUGAUGAGUAUACGAAGCCAAAUUAACUGUUUCUAAACCUCAACCCUACCAAACACUUUCGACGAAGGAAUGACUUUAAAAUGGAUGGUGGCCUUCUAGAGAGCGUUGAAUAAAAUUCAUAAGGUUCAAUAAACUGCAUCCUUCAUUAAAUGAUGAGUAUACCAAGACCACUUAUCUUCAUGUUCUGUGAUGGUGCGGAGUGGUCAUUGCUGAAACGCCCUCAUUCAAUCCCAAAAUCAGUUCAGAUAGAGCUUAUUUACAGCAGUAAUAGAGUAACAUAAGUAAACCCAAUGGGAGACUCCAUUGUGUUGUCACUGAGGACAGUUACAAAAAUCAAGGACAGGCCACAAUACGAAUCAUAAAUUGGGUUGUCUGUUGCCAGUUUUGAUUAAAAUAAUCCUCAAAUAUGUAACAAACCGUCAAUGUGCAUUUGUAUAUAUAAAAGGCAGGAUGUGCAUGUGGGUACGUGAAUGCAAUUUAUGCACGUCCACAAAUUAGCACCCAUGUCGCUCCAAUUUUAGGACAUUCGUCAUGACCCUAGUUUUAUUUUCAACUUAUUUUCACCAGAGACAGUAAAUAGAAUAGCAGUAAAAAUACAUUUUCAACCAAAACUUUUAACAAUUUUCAAGUCGGAGAAAUCACCGUCGUUUAGAAAAAAGGAGUUAAGUCACCUUCUAGUUACGAGUAAGUUUUUGUUAAGACUUGCUUUUUUUUUUCCAUUGAGGAAAGAAACGUUUUGCUGAUAUACGAGGAAAACACCCACACACACACACAAACAUGUAUGCGUACAAAAACAUUAUACAAUAGGUGUAGGUACAAACGCGUGCGUGUCCCAUACAUAAACCAAUUUCAACGGAUUUCGCCCAAAUUUGACGCCGAUGUUAGUUUUAUUUGAAAUAAAGAACUUGAUUAGUUUAACAAUCCUAACACAAUCCCAGGAAAAGCCGGGUUAUACUGCUAGUAUUUAGUGUAUAUAUGUUGCUUAUAUAUUUAUGGAUUACGAAACAACUGUCAACCAAUGGCAUAAUCAUCUAUUUUAUGUAUAUGAAUGCGUUCAACACACACACACACACACACACACACACACACAUAUAUAUAUGUGUAUAUAUAUAUAUAUAUAUUUAAAACAUAUGCACAUUGAGAAAAUAUGCAUUAUUGAAGUUAUGGUAACAAGGUUUCAAAUCUGGAAAUAAGUGUAUAGGACGAAUAAAAAAAUAUUAAGUUACGAUUCUCUUGAAAAUAAUUUACCCAAGAAAGUUAAAAAAAAAAAAACAAAAUCAAAGAAAAAUUUGAAGGAAAUUUUUCUUCGGUUAAUAUUAUUUAGGCGCUUCCCCUACCAGCACAUAAAAUGUGCUAUAACAGAGCAUAUAUAUCGAUUAAAUCGAAAAGAUUCUCACGAACUGAAAGCAACCUAAGGGCAGAGGUCCCCGUUUCCCUUUUUGGCCCACAUGGAUUGAUCUAAGGGAGACAGCCCGUCCCCGCCGAUCAGUAUUGUUUUUUUACUUGACCAUAACGAAUUUCUACCUCCGAGAUUUGAACUCUAUGGCCUUAGGCUUUAGAGUCUGACAAUUUAAGACAAAGCCCUUUAUGGAUGCUAAGCCAUUGGUUACUAUGACUGGACAUAUUACAUCUAAAUAUAUAUACAUAUAUAUAUAUAUAUAUAUACUUACAUAUAGCUCUAGAGAUGGUCAUCUUUCACCAAUUAAACACGUAGUAUAUAUUUGAUCUUCACUUUCGCUUUAUUUUUAGUUUGUCAGAGUUCUUUGGUCAUACGUUUUGUGAUCUAACUAUUGUCCCACGUGACUCCUUUUGUUCCGCCUAUCCCAUUUCCCCAAGUAAUGAGUGUUUAAUUAGCAAAAGAGGACCAUCUUCAAGUAUAACAAUGUUUCAAUAAACCAUUUCACAUCAGGAAUCUCAAAAAACAAAUACGAGAGAGAGAGAGGAGGGGAGAGGGAGAGAGUUAUUUUAUAAAGGGUGAACUACAUUUUUCUUCCAACUGACACAGCAUAAAGUGAACAAUGUCUAGGAACAUAAAAGUGAAAAAGGAUUGAAUUAUUUGGAUCAAAUCCAAGAUGUAGCGUAAGUUUUCACUGAAGACUAAUUUCAUUUUGGUCCUACGACCUCAAUGGAAAGCAAAUAGGCAUUUGGCUGGUGUCUCCCAUCUUGCUUGAUCGAGUUCAGAAACGAGUUGUUUACAUGGAGUUUUUAGUUCAUCGUCGAAAAGCAAUUUCGUCGUGUCUUUUGUGCAAGUAUUUUCAUGGAUUUUGCUCCGAGGAACUUUCUGGUUUGGUACUGUCAAAACUUAAAUGUGUCACUUCCUUUGGAUUAUAUUACUGACAAUCUUCUCUGGAUUAUAAGACUGACUUAAAUGUAUAAGUAAAUUAUUCCAACAGGAAUUGAAACCACGACCGCUUAGGAUCCAAGCUUGAAACAACUGCUGAGCGGAAUAAGAAUAUUUUACCACAACCGAACAUCAUUAUCGUCUGGUUUGGUCUUUUAGGCCAGUUGAAGAAAUUUCACAUUUGCAUAGUAACAGUUUAGAAUAACUGGACAGAGUGACAGUUUUUACAGAUGUUACUUCAUUAAAUAUCGCUGUCAGAACAGCAGUUUGAAACGGUAUCUUAGUCAGCUUAGAACACGCUUUGUUAAAUAAUAGUUUGAAAAGUUGCGUAAUUGAAAUUUUGAAUAAAUUCAGUGACAAAUAUUAAAAGACAAUUCGUCAAAGUUAAUUCCAUUAACAGGCAUCACGUGUUGUAUUUUUGACGUCCUACAUGAGUAGGAAGCAACGCGUGAUUUUCUACAUUAACUUUGUGUAUAUUGCUCGAAUUAGUUUAAGCUUAUAUAGAGCGUGUUCAUUAAAAGAACUUCAGUUUCCAUCUAACGAGGAAGACUAGAUGGUUACUCGCAUCUGAGAGAAGCAGAGCAAAAUUACAAAUAAAACACUGCUUAAAAGAUGUGAAGACGGGAUGGUCAAGGUGGUCGGAACGCCCCUGAUUAUAGGUCUACUCAACGAUGACCAGAGGCUCAAUAUUUGUUCUCAAGGUAUUUUGCAAUAGACAAAGAGCUUGCAGAAAUUCUUUUGCUACACAGAUGAACAGGUUUCGUUGGAAAUUGAACUCCGUUCUCUUCGGAAUAGAAUUCUGAGACGGUUGUAAUGCAAAACGUAACCGAGAGAAGAAAAUGUAUCACGGCAAGGAAGGAUUAGGAAAAAAAAUUGUAAUCACUAACUGUUCAGUCAGUCAUGAUUUUAAGAUUGUUAAAAAGAAAAAAAAAGCUUAGCAACUUCACAUCUUUUGAAUUGUGAACCCCGUUUUUCUUUUUAACGUUCUAACAGUACUACAUAUUCCCGAAGUCUUGUGAGGGACAAGAAAAACAAAACCUAAGGAAGAAACAGACCCAAGAAUAUUACAUGUUAAUUUAGGAAUUUAACACAGUCAGGAUGAAGAGGGAUAAAAUUGUCGAAAUACUGGUCUCCCGUCCUGUUAGCAAUCGGUCGUAACUGGACUGAAACAACACAUCUAAUAACAGCAAAUCACAGUAAUAUUAAUUUAGGAAAUUGAACAGAAAUACGGUUUUCUCACAAAUGUAACAUUUUCAUAAAAAAUUAAACAAAAAUGUGAAUUGUUAAUUUCGAGCAAUAAGCUUUUUUUGUGAAAAAAAAAAUCUGUUCUUUAAAAAAAAUACAAAUAUCCAACUCGGUCCGAGUCAACCUUCUUCCAUUCAAAUAUAUUCUGUCUGGUAUGAGUUCAAAUUGAAACUGAAAAUAUUCACUGUUUUUCUCCAUUAAAAUAGUAAAUCCAAGUCAACGAAAGAAAACGGUAGCCAUUUUGUUUUGGUUAUUGUCUACAAAAUCCAGGUUUCUGAGUUGAAAUAACGAACACCCCACCUCAACAGAAACGGAAAGAUUUCAAGUUUUUUUUUCUUUUUAAGAUAAUAGGGUGUGAUUUGAGAGAUAUUUGAUCGUUAUUUCUAGCUGGUCGGACGUCCACUUGAUGGUUCAUUCGUCGACCAAUGUGAAGGAGUAUCUCAGUGGAGCAGGUAGACUUAUCACCAAUUGUAGGUCUCAGUGCUGUGCUUUCUCCGAUUGAAUAAGUUCACCAUUCCUUGAAUUCAUAAAAAAAAUAAAGGGAGCAUGUGCCUUCAUCUCGUCGAAAGGAAGUAAAGUAAAUAUAUUUUUCUGGCCGAGGUACUUGUCUAUCUUGCAAUACGUGUUAGGCGCUGCUCGGUUGUUUUAACUAUUGAUUUCUUUAUUACCCACAAGGGGCGAACAUAGAAUAUACAGAACAUUGGGAACAUAAAACAUCACAAUUACGUGUAUGAAAAAAUGAAAAUGAUAGAUGAAAGCGAUACUAACGGCCUCAUCCGCUAGCAUCACUUACCUGUCCGAAAUACAAUACACAUUAUUCUCUAUUUUCUUCUCAAAUCUCUUUUCCAAUUCCGUAAUUGUCUCUUUUUUCCCCCCAUUUAAUUCUAAACAUUCAUCCGCGAUUAAAGCGCACGUAUCGCUGUCCCUGUCACACCAUUGAUAGUCUUUCAACAUCUCUUUUGCGUCUUUUCUCCUCGUAACAAAUAGAAAAUUGGGCUGGGGUUCUUUUUCGGUAUUUUGUCUGUUUUUUUUUUUUUUUGUUUUCUUGUUGGUGGGGAGCGGGUGAGUUCACUGUCUGCAGGGGAAGGGUCUCAAUGGGAGUGGGUGGUGUUGGGGUGGUUUGGGGUUCACCACUAUUAAUUUUUCCCCUUCUCUUUCUCCUUUUGUCUUCUUCCCAUUCUUUAUGUACCUCCUCUUCCGUUGCUAAUUUCUCUUCUUCCUCCUCGUUGGCCUCUACCUCUUUUUGAGGUUCUGCAUCAAUUUCUUUUGAUGGGGGGAGGGGGCAGUUAGCUCUUAUAUGACCUUUCAGUCCACACUUGUAACAGCGUGGUGCUCUGCCCUCCACCCACGGUACCGAAAUUUAUUCCUCUUGCCACGAACACUAGGUCUUCCUCCGUUCUUUUUAAAGCGUCUUCUAUUGUUUCCAUUUCGACGACUUCUAUCUUCUUUGUUCCGUUGGCAUAAACCCUGUAUGUAAUUGUCCUUCUUUCAUGCCACUCUUUUCGUUUUUGUGGCGGUGUCAACUCCACUUCCCCACCGACCUUUUUGAUAAAUUCCUUAUAAGUUGGCAAUUUGGCCAAAUCUAUCUCUCUUUCCUCCUUUCUUGUCGCUCCCACGUAUGUCUUGCUUAAUUUCUUAUCCAUCUUCUUUAUCGCGUUCUCCAGUUCCUCUUCCGAAGUCGAUAAUUCCGACACACUAUCAUACACAUGUGUUCUGGCCAUCUCUCCUUUAGGGAGGGGCAGCCCACUUCUUCCUUGUCUGUCUCAAUACAGACAGACAAAAGCCAAAAACCGUGCAACAAAACGUUUAACAAAGAUUAACACUCAAUGAAUUCAAAAAUAACGUCCGACUCCGACAGAAUAAUAUCUUAGGCGCUACUCGGUUGUUUUAACUACUAUAAAAAAAAUGACCGUCCCUUUAAUAAGCACGAUCCACAAUGUACGAGAGGAUGAUUCUAUAAUGUGAAUCACAGGGUAAAACAGCUCGUCGCUUUGAUUAUCAAUGACAUUGCAUAAUCAGCCAGUGUUUGGUUACCGUGUGGUGCCGAGUUCGAAAUAGCUCUAAGUAGAACAGUUCGGAAUUUUAAUAGAAAGGAGUUUUUUGUUGUUUUAUAAAGCCGGGGCAGCCAUAAUCUAUGAAACUUAUAAUAAAACGUCAGUCUAGAAAUGACCAUCCCGUCUUUGUAGGUAUAUCUCGGACUAUAUUAUCUAUAUUGCUUCUCCCUUUCCCAAAGCAGUAGGACCUGGUUCGACGGGGAUAUGGCUGCUACAUCAAGCACACCGAGCGACCACGUGUAGGUUUUACCGUUGACUAUGCUGCAAAUAGGCGGGGGUAAGAUUUUAAGUUGCAUCCGGUAGUAGGGCUUUGGUUCGGAGGUGGCUGAGUUUUUGAGGAGUGUGGAACCGCUUCGUAGUCACUUUUAUGGCCAGACCUACUCUGACCCAGAGUAGCAGCACGUAUCGAGGCCCCAGCUAUAGGUUAAUUAACCUGAUACGGAAGAAACAACAAGCAUUGUCUCGAGUGCCUUGGGAAAGGUAAAGGCCAGGAGAACCCAUUUCAACAGCAGAUUAAAGAGUGGAGUCCCUAAGGUGAACCAGUGACCCUUUUGACAUCCUAUCGGCAUGUCCAGGGCAAUUUACCUAGAGGACCAUUCUAAUAUAAAACCUACAGCUUACUGGUCACUUGCAGAGCGGAAACUGUAUAGAGCCCCAUCGAGUGUAUUGUAACCGUAUUUCAAAUAGUGCGAUCUUUUCAGACAUUUGUGUCAUGCUGACUUUGCUUGAGUGUUACGUUAAGGGUACACAUACUGCGGAAUACUCAGCUACUUACUCACAAUGAAAAGAUAAUUCAAUUGAGGAAAUUACUGAGAAAUUAUCCUCGAAAGCGACGGAUAAUCAAGCAAUACAUACACACACACACUCGCACACACACACGCACACAUACACACACACACACACACAACACUUUCUCGCACUCUCUCCUCUCUCUCUCUUCCCCUCUCUCUCUGUCUCUCUCUUCCUAUAUAUAUAUAUAUAUAUAAGCGCAGGAGUGGCUGUGUGGUAAAAUGCUUGCUUACCAACCACAUGGUUCCGGGUUCAGUCCCACUGCGUGGCACUUUGGGCAAGUGUCAUUGACUAUAGCCUCGGGCCGACCAAAGCCUUGUGAGUGGAUUUGGUAGAUGGAAACUGAAAAGAAGCCUGUCGUGUAUAUGUAUAUAUAUAUAUAUGUGUGUGUUUGUGUGUCUGUGUUUGUCGCCCCAACAUCGCUUGACAACCGAUGCUGGUGUGUUCUUGUCCACGUAACUUAGCGGUUCGGCAAAAGAGACUGAUAGAAUAAGUACUAGGCUUACAAAGAAUAAGUCCUGGGGUCGAUUUGCUCGACUAAAGGCGGUGCUCCACCAUGGCCGCAGUCAAAUGACUGAAACAAGUAAAAGAGAGAGAGAGAGAGCGCACACAACACACAUCUGACAAACACACACACAAAAGCCCCACAGGUCACACAUUCACAUCGCAUUCAUACAGCAAAUACACACAUCACACGCACACACAUACACACAUGUGCAUACACACACACACACAUUUCAUAAACACGCAUCACACAAAAACAAAGACACGGCACAUAUUACAUGCAUAGCACACACAAUGCACAUCUCACAAACACACACACACGUUACACAUUCAAUCGCAUUCAUACCACACUCACACACAUCAAUAUACACAUGUACAGACACACAUAAACAUCAUGCACAAAUUAUGCACACAAAUGCACGCGCGCGCGCGAGCAGACACAUCAUACAUGUUCAUCCCAUGGAUGCAUCACACUCUCACAUCUCACACAUACACAUAUACACACACAUACACACACACGCACACUCACACACAUUGGCCACACGUGUCACCCGCUGAUCAUAUGCACACACACACAUACACUCACAUACACGCACUCACAUACACACACACAUACAUGCACUCACAUCCACACAUGCAUACUCACACACACACUCACACACAUAUACACGCACACGCGCACGCACACACACACAUACACAUAUACACACAUCACACACGCAGACACACACCAAAUCACAUACAUAACACAGGCGUGUACACCACAUUUAUCACAAACAUAUAUCAGACAUUUCACGCGCACACACACACACACACACACGUUCACCACUCAUAUACAUAUGCACACGUUCAAACACACGUACAUUCAUACGUACACAUAUACACAUACAUAUAAACGCAGUCAUUCCCACGCACACACAUACAUACGGCUAGCACUCCCCCCCGCCACAUAUACACCCCCACAUGCACAUACACAUGCAUUCAAAUACACACAUCUACGCACAAAAAUUAAAACACACAUUCGCACAUGCGCACACACGCACGUGAACGCAUGAUCACCACACGCACAUACGCAUAUACACAUUCAAACACACACAGACUUCUACAUUCUCGUGUGCACGCACACAUACGCACACACACACGUGCGCGCACACACAUAGACACACGCAUACACACGCACAUUUAAACUGGUACGCUAUUUGAUCCGAUCAAUCGAACAGUCUGCUAAUGAAAUUAGCGUGCAAAUGGCUGAAUAUACCACAGACAGGCGUAUGCAUAACGCAGUUCUCUGGAAUAUUCAUAUUCAGUGUGACACAGAAUGUAACGGGGCUGACCCUUCGAAUCACAGGUUCAAUUCAUUUUUGUCAACUGAAUGGACUGAUGCAAGGAGGAAUAAAAGACUUGCUCAAGGAUAUAACGCGCCAUUGGUGAUCGAUCUUACGACCUUACACCCGGUUUAUUUAGAUAUGUGUGUGUAUUAGAUAUUCUACGUUUCACUUCGUUGCUUUUCGUUUCAUUACGCCAGCUCUAACAUGGAUUCCUUUCAUCAACUGGCUUUAAACAAAUCCCAAAUCAACUCUCGUCAACAUUAUCGAUGUAUACAUUAUUUACAUUAUUUACAUUUGAUGGAUAUUUGUCCUCAUCUUGUUUGUUGUUAGCACCACAUUUCGGUUGAUAUACCCUCCAGACUUCAUCAGGUGUCUUGGUGGAAAUUUCGAACCUGGGUUCUCAUUCCUAAGGAAUUUUUCGAUGUUGUCGUUGUUGUUCUUGUUGUUGUUGUUAUUAUUAUUAUUCAGGUUACUGUCUGGAAUCUAACUCGGAAUCUUGGGGUUAGUAGCCCGCGCUCUUAACGACUACACCCACGGGCAUAUGGCGUAGUGAAUAAUGAUAAUAAUAAUGAUAAUAAUAAUAAUAAUAAUAAUAAUAAUAAUAAUAAUAAUAACAUCGAAAAAGGCCUUAGGAAUGAGAACCCAGGAUCGAAAUUUCCCCAAUACACCUGAUGAUGACUGGAGAGUUCAUCAACCGAAACGUUGUGCUAACAAGAAACAAGAUGAGGACAAAUAUCCUUCAAAUGUAAAUAAUGUAAAUAAUGUACAUAAUGUAAAUAAUGUGCAUAAUUCCUCAUCUCUUAAAUAUAGAACUGUAUUAUCGAUAUUGUUUGAAAAGUUUCGAUCUUAUUGGAGUUAUGUCCCUUUUUUAUCUUUUAUCUUUUGCUAAUUUCACCCAUUAGACUGCGGCCAUGCAGGGACACCGCCUUGAAGAAUUUUUAGUCAAACCAUUCGACCACAGAACUUACUUAGUUUAAAGCUCGGUACUUAUCCAUCGAAGUGGAUGAAACAAAUUCUCAUACUUGGGUGGAGGGGCUGAGAUUAUAACUGGAGGGGUGAUUAACACCCCAUAGCUCCUCACCCCUCGUAGCUAUGUGCCUGUGUGCUACGCAGUGGGACUGAAACCUGAACCUUGUGGCUGGGAAGCAAGCUCUCACUACACAACCUCACCUGCGCCUACACAAUCGAUAUUCUUUGAAAAGUUUCGAUCUUAUUGAAGUUAUGUCCCUUGACCAUUUUUACCUUUUAAACACCUUGGGGAAGUUGAAAUCACCCAUAAGAAAUAUGGUCACGUUGUGUUCCAGAUUCAUGAGGAUUUUUUUAAUUCUUGUGAGGCAAUCUUCAAACUUGCCUAUGUGGUUUGGAGCGUCCGGUGGGCAAUAUGUAUUUGCAUAUGACUAUAUUAUGUUGUUUUAUGUAUACAAUUAAAGUGUCACAUAUCGAAUUUGAGUAUGUCAGUAAGACCUGGAGUGUGAGGUCAUCCCGGAUGUAUACAGCAACUCCACCAUGGCUCCUUUCCCUUCUGUCUGUUCGCAGUAUGGCAUAGUUUGGUACGUGUACACCUUUCAAACUUCUUUUACUUGUUUCAGUGAUUUGAAUACGGCCAUGCUGGAGCACCACCUUUAGUCGAGCAAAUCGACACCAGGAUUUAAUUUUUGUAAGCCUAGUACUUAUUCUAUCGUUUUUUUUUUGCAGAACCGCUAAGUUACGGGGACGUAAAAACACCAGCAUCGGUUGCCAAGCGAUGUUGGGGGCACAAACACAGACCCACUAACACACACACACACACACAAAUAUAUAUAUAUAUAUAUAUAUAUAUAUAUAUAUAUAUAUAUAUAUGUAUCUGUUGUUGAAUUUAUAUAUAUAGUCUUUGACUAUUUUCUCUUUCCCACUAGACCGCUGGUAGCGAUAAAUUUCUAUUGAAUUUUUUGCUACCCUAAAUUGAUUAAAAUAUAUAUAUAUAUAUAUAUAUAUAUAUAUAUAUAUAUAUACAUGUAUGUAUAUAUAUAUAUAUAUAUAUACGACGGGCCUGUUUCAGUUUCUGUCUACCAAAUCUACUUACAAGUCUUUGGUCGGUAUAAGAGUGUGUGUGUGUGUGUCUGUCUGUCUGUUUGAUUGCUGAUUCACCAUAAACAACCUUGCUCCGACUUGGUCAAAACUUGGUCAAGGCCUAGUCUUGGUCAUUUAUAUGCGUAUAUUUAAUAAACAGCAUCACUAUGUAAGUUAAUUCGGUGUUUAAAACCGCACAAUCAUUUUCCUGCUGAACUAACCGAACUGGACUAACCUAGACUUGUGUCGCUUAUUGUUGUCGGCGUUCAUCAGGAAUGUCUACGCUGCAUAUUCUACAGUCGUCCACAAACAGUAAUGAGAAAUGUUGUGGUUCACGAGGACGGAUUUUAUUCAUUUACUUAUCUGUACAUUUCUUAGUGACACGUAUUAAUUAACUUAAAUACCGAGACAUCUAGAUAUAUCGCGAGAUUAAAUAUACAUUUAUUAAAAGAAUGCAUGUAAACUCAUUAAUAAUUUAACAGCACAGAUGCUGUGAAGGCGCUUUAGUUAACAAACGUGUGUAUACUUUUUUGUACAUGUGUGUAUAUGUGCAUGUUGGUACAUUUGAGUAUGUGUAUGUGUUCGUACACAUGUGUAUAUAUAUUUGUGUGUGCUUGUACAAGUGAGCAUAUCUGCGCGUGUAUGCGCGCACGUGUGUUUGUAUAUACUUGUCAGGUGAUGUUUCAUCUACCCACUGCCAGAUGUGUAGGCCACCAGGUACACCACCGCGUUUGCUGAGUUAGAGGAGACAGAAAGUGUAGGAGCAGCCAGCGAGGAUAAAAUUUCUUUCUACUAUAGGCACAAGGCCUGAAAUGUGGCUGGGAGGGAGAUUACAUCUAUGUUUGUUCCUUCUCGAACCAUGCCUGGCUCAUAAGGGCCGGUUUCCCGGUUUCCUUGGCGUAUAGGUUCCCCACCUGGACGGGACGCCGGUCCGUCGCAGGUGAGCUGCAAGAUGCAGGAGGAAAGAGUGAGAGAAAGUUGUGGCGAAAGAGUCAGCAGAAGUUCGCCAUUACUUUCUGCCGGAGCCGCGUGGAGCUUAGGUGUUUCGCUCAUAAACACACACACCACCCAGGCUGAGAUUCGAAUCCGCGAUCCCUCGACCGCGAGUCCACUGCUCUAACCACUAGGCCAUGUGCCUCCACAAAUUACAUCUAUUCCAAUGUUCAACUGAUAUUUAUUUAUCCGUCCUUGACAGGAUUUGAGCUAAGAGUGUAACAAGUCCACCAACUCAUCACAUCAUCUUCCAGUUGCUCUUCUUCCUACUUACACAUUGAAAUAUUCCUUGCUUAUCUUUAUAUUUUCUUGCAGAUGAUUUAUACCAGUUUCUUUCGGGUUACUGAGCCAUUCUGCAUUAAUGUAGAGUGUUUCCUCUUUUCUUUAUAUCUUGAGGUGAAAGAGUUAACAGGGCAAUAACACCAUCAUUAAUAAUAGUUGAAGGUAAGUUAACCAUGUAGAAUUUUUAAAUGGACAUUUUAAGAAGAUUUUAUCACACAUGUGGGAGUAACGGAUUAAUAAUUCAUUACGCUAAGUAAUUAAAUUUGAGGGUCUCCAAUGUCUCUACUGAGAAUAAACUACAGCUACCCUCAUCUCAUCUGUAUGGGUGUAGAUCAACCUAUAAAUAACCAUGCAAUUGAAUUGACGAUAUUUUACCUUCAGAUCCCAAAUGAAACUAGUGUAUGAGGUGCUAUGUGAUUAUCUUUUAUAGUUAAAGGAGUGAAUAUAGUUAUUUAAUCCAAGAUUGAAUUUGAAAGCUGUUGUAUCUAUGUAAUAAUGGAUUUUAUUACGUGUUUUAUCAGAACAUUUAUGUAUUAAACUAUUCUUCUGACAUCGGUUAUUCAAAGAGCAUUUAUCAUAGCUCCUGCUGUUGCACAUUUUAUUAAGUUUAUAAUCAUAAGAGACAUUAUUUACUUUAUUAGGGUUAAUGUUAAUCUUAUGAAGAGAUACUGUAUUAUUUUUAUCAGCGUUUAUAUCAGAUUGAGAUGUAUUAAUUGCAGCACGCCUAGGUAUUUGAUAACUGAAUAUUUAAAGAUACAGCAGUUAUUACUAUUUAAUUUCUUACUGUUUGUUACAGGCAGCUAUUUUAUUCGCUAGAUUUGGCCUAGAGGAAUACACAAAUGUGACGGUAUCUAUUGAAUAUCUUACUUUAUCUACCAGAAGGUGGCGGGAAAUGCUUAUUCAAUGACCUAAAGAAAAUCCAUGGAAUAUUCGAGGAUAGCUGGAUUCUACAAAGGGAGUUAAACCAUGUGGCAGUCCUUUCAUGAAAUGCUUAUUCAAUUCAGUGGAUAGCCGAGGUUAUCUGAAUCCUAUAAAGGAUGUUAAACCAUGUGAUAAUCAUUUUAUGUAAUAUAGGUGACGAGGGAUAGGAUUAACGAAUAACCAUCCUUUUCAAAUUCCGCCGAUGUCGACUUUGCCUUUAAUCCUUUCGGGGUUGAUAAAUUAAGUACCAGUUGCGUACUGAGGUCGAGCUACUUGACCGACCACCUCCCUAAAAAUUUCGGGUAUUGUGCCUAGAGUAGAGAAGAAUCAUUUUACGUAAUCCGUUUCUAUUAGUUUUGUUUUUUUCCUGAUUUUAUUUGUUUCUGGAAGAAGGUAACCGAUAGACACCUCAACGGACCCAGGUCAGACUUUCAGGCUUUUUAGCUCUUCAGCCUUUUAGCUGUCCAUCUAAGAGAAGAUGACUCAAUACAAAUCCAGCAUCCUGAUAACUACUGGGCACGUGGCACUUGUUGCACCACACCAAUACAAGUUUGAAGGACGAGAGAAAUUGUCUGGCUCUGCACAAAACAUGCGCGCUAUAAAAAUAUUCACCAUGCAGAUCGUUCAUGAAACCAAAAUACCGGCAGCAACAUCAUCGCACUUUCUUCAAGUCCAGUGGCGGGAGGAAAAGAAGCGAUGGGGACAGACAGCAGAUGCUACUAGAAAUCUUCAACUGUAACACUACACACAAGCAGCCCGAAAGUGACGGUCGUUUUCCUAAGACCUCAGCUGUGUCAAAAUGACAUAGAAGUCCGUCAAAUUAGUAUAGUAUCGUUGAUUCUGCGUUGAAUAGUUCUCUUACGGUCAUGGAAGUUGCAACGAUAAUUCCCAGGUUUGAAUCUGUUAUUAUUAUGUUCUGUCCUUUUACUUAGGGUGAAAAAUAUGGAGCUAAUGACCUGUACAUGAUGAUCGAGACUGUUUUGAUUGGUUGCCCGAUGUUUACUUUCAAUAAAUAUAGAAUGACGUCAGCAGGCAAAAUCGGGUUGCAGAGGAAAAGGGAAUUCCAGAGCUUUGACGUCAGGAGACGAAGGAAUUGGAAUAAGCUUUAAUACAGAGUAUUUGGGAUGGGAAGACUCAAUAUAGGCGACGAGGGAUAGGAUUAGCGAAUAACCUUGCUUCAAGUGAGCAUUAGUUCCACUUCCUUUCGGUUGAAAGUGAUGUGCACCUAGUUUGUACUUUGUGGCCGUCAAAAAAUUAGAGAAACAAGAAAAAGAUUUUGUGAGAUGGAGUUUACAGCGUGAUGGGUAUUUGAUAAUCACGUGAUCAUAUUAAAAUUUGUCCCGUCAAGGAUAUCUCUAGGUGUAACAGCAGCAGUAGCAUCCAGUUCGUAGCCUCACCUGAGCUUUCUCGACAUAUACCAAUUGUUCAGAUGGUACACGUCUAGUAUGUAUAUAAUAUUUUCCGUGUCACACAUUUCCCUCAAUGCAUUCAAACAUACAUACAUAGACACAUACAUACAUACUUGCAUACGUAUAUGUAUGCAUAUACAUAUAUGUGUGUGUAUGUGUGUGCGCGUAUGUGUGCGAGUGUAUUCAACAUGAAUGUGUGUGUGUGUGUGUGUGUGUGUAUUCAACAUGAAUAAGAAAUAUUUUCUAAACUUCAUGCUCUAAAUAUACUGAUUGUGUCUUCAAACACACUUCGUUGCAUUUUAGGACAGACAUAAAAGAAACCAACGGAUGUUCGCAACACACACACAUAUAUAUAUAUAUAUAUAUACAUAUAUAUACACACACACACACAUAUAUAUAUAUAUAUACACACACACACAUAUAUAUACAUACACACACGCACGCAAACACACAUACACACACAUACACACACACACAUACACACAUAUAUAUAUAUAUAUAUACAUAUAUACACAUAUAUAUACAUACACACACGCACGCAAACACACACACAUAUAUUAUCCGAAAAGUAUUGUAUUAAAUAUUCCUCAUGGCUAAUCUUACCAAUCGGGUUCGCGCAAAGAAUACAAUGGAGCGCUAGGUAACAAUCUUAGACGACUCACGCACGUAUACAUACAUACAUAUAUACAUACAUACAUACAUAUAUAAAUAUCUAUGAAUACGUGUAUGUAUGGGCGUGUUUGCAUGUCUAUGCAUAUAUUAUCAUUUAUAUAUCCGUGUCUAUUUAUACAUGUAUGUAUACAUGAGGGUGGGGUGUUUAUGGGAAAAGUAGCAAUUUUUCCCAUUGUUGAUAAUUUGCUAGUCACGGAAAGAAAAAAAAAUUACAGAAACGUAAUUUUCUUGGUUCAAUCAGUUGUAUACGCAAUCACAUUCACCCAUACAUACCUGUAUGUAUAUAUAUAUAUAUAUAUAUAUAUAUAUAUAUAUAUAUGUGUGUGUGUGUGUGUGUGUGUGUGUGUGUGUGUGUGUGGAACAGUUUUAAAGAUUUAACAACGGUGGUGCUCUAGAAUGACCACAGCUUUGAAGCUGAAACGUUUUUAAAGAUUUUUUAAAGAUUUUUAAACACACACAUGCAAGUCACCGUCUAUUGAAAAGGUUGAAAAGCGCAACAAAAAUUUUAGAAAAAAUAAAUAAAUGAUCGGAAAUCGAACCAGUGAACGUAUUAAAUAAUAAGGUUAAAAGAAUGCGUAUAUGAAUAUAAAAAUAAGUGUGUCUGUCUGUAUGUCUUAGUCGUUGGCUUUCAACUCCUAUCACAUCCUGAAGGAACAACCGUCUAUUACUGUGAGUCUUGGGCUCUAACCGAACGAAACGACUUUCUGUCCAAAUCUAACCAGGACCGGUCCUUUCUUAUUUGUUUUUCAGAAAUACAUGAGAGAUAGGCGGGAAUCGAUGUCCAUUGCCAGAGUGGACUGAUAAUUUUAGUUAUUGACCAACUUGAUAUAGGUGGGACGAAAAUCUGAACUACGUUUUCCCCCCUUGUCUUAAAUGUCACUUGUAUAAUUCAGGAAUGCCAGCUCAGAAAGUUUAGCCAUGUUACUCGAUUUUCCGAGUUAGGACCUUCUUACCGUGCUUCUCAUCACCGAGGAUCCAAUUGGGUUAUAACGGCUCGUUUUGGUUGACCACAUGAUCAUGGUAGAUGAAGAGGUAUAUAGCGGUGAUGGGGGACCCGCGAGGACCCGGUAUUACGCCGAUAAAUGGUGAAUGCAACAACGCAUGUCUCCACAAAAAGAAGCAGAAGAGGCAGAAGAAGAAGAAGAAGAAGAACAAGAACAAGAAGAAGAAGAAGAAGAAGAAGAAGAACAACAACAACAACAACAACAACAACAAGAUAGGCUAUAAAGCACAUUCCUAUCGAACCACAUACCAUCCAUAUGUUUCUAUACUUACCUCUAGCAUCUUAGAGGCCUUACAUUAUUCUUUUUUCUAAUACCUAUGAUAUUCAGCAACAUCUAAAAUACCUUUCCAAUAUAUACAGGGUGGGUGGAAAGUAACUAGGUAUUAGAAAUUGCUUAUGGAAUCAUGAGGAAAACACUAUUUAACCAGACAACACUAAGGGGAUUUCUUAAUCUCUUACUGUCUUAUUUCUUAAUUCUUAUUUUCCAGAUGGCCGGCCGCUUGGCUGUUCAGGAGCGAGCUAAGAUAGCAGCUCGCUACGAAGUGUGGAAUUCCACUGUUUUGGUUCAAAGCUGGUGGCAUGCAGGGAAAGGUAUGUAUGCAACACUACUUCCGAAGACAAUAAAAUGUUGUCAUGCAAAGCUGAUGAUCAUCUGUGAGCGAUGCAAAAAGUGGCCGUCCAACCACAUUCCGAUCAGUGGAGCACGAGAUAACAGUGCAGGAAAUGUUUAAUCGCAGCCCGCGAAAAUCAACACAUCAAGCAGCUCGUGAAAGUGGUUAACAAGACACAACAUACGCACGGUAUUGCAUAAAAAAUUGAAUUUGUGUCUGUGGAAACUCCAUUACGUGCAGCCAGGACUCCAGAUCUGCAAGAAGUCCAGAUCUCACUCGAUGUGAUUUUUGCCUGUGGGAUUACACAAAAUGGAAUAGUUAGAGACCCGGAUUCAGGAGGUUCUCAAUGAUAUCGCAGACAACGUCCUUCAGAAGGUUGUUCAUUCUAUCCCUGGCCGUUUGUGGAAACUGGUUGACGCCACCGCUGGUUACGUUGAAAUAUGAAGAUUUACUUUCAUUUUCCCAUGUAAUAAAGAACAUAUAUCAUUUGUUUCAAUAAAUUCGUAUAAGGAAUAUGGAUUAUAUUACCAAUUUUUAAUGCCUAAUUACAUUUCACUUAUUUGCC
This 23345-nucleotide long non-coding RNA is filed under the name Octopus vulgaris (common octopus). The record is from RNAcentral. Lineage: Eukaryota; Metazoa; Mollusca; Cephalopoda; Octopoda; Octopodidae.